This 1272-nucleotide ribosomal RNA is filed under the name Hypoponera sauteri. RNAcentral's name for it is "16S ribosomal RNA". Lineage: Eukaryota; Metazoa; Arthropoda; Insecta; Hymenoptera; Formicidae. The record is from RNAcentral.
UAAAUAAAAUUAUAUGAUGAGUGUGAUAGUUAAAUAGUAAAAAAUUAAAAAAUUUUUAAAAUGAUAAAUUUUAGUAAUGUAAAUGAAAAAUUUAGGAUAAUUUAAAUAGGAUUUUGUUAGUCAUACCUUUUGUAUCAGGGUUUAUAAAAUAAAUAUUAGAUUAAUAAAAAUAUUUAGAAUUUUAAAGAGUUAAAAAAUUAUAAAAUUUAAUGUUAAAUUAUUAUUUUAAAUAGUUAAUUAGAGAAGAUAUUUCAUUCGAUUUAAAAGAUAUCUAAUUUUUUUAGAAAUAAGUAUUAAUUUAUUUAUAAAUAUAUAUUAAAAAAUAAUUGUUUUUUUAAUGUAAUUUAUAAAAAAUAAUUAUGGGUUAAUCUAUAAUUAAAUUUAAAAUAAAAAUUAUAAAAUUAUAAAUAAGGAUAGUCUUAAAAUUUGAUUUUUUUAUAAAAAAUUUAAUAAUUUAUAAAAUGAUUUUUUUAAAAAAUAUUUAUAUUUUUAAAAUUUAAUUAUAUAUAAAAAUAUUAAUUUAAAUUAUAAAAAUUAGGUAAUAAUGAUAGAAUAAGUAAAUUUUAAAUAAAAUAUUAAAAAUAUAUUAAAAAAUGAAAAUAAGUUUAAGUAAUUAGGCAAAAAAUUAAUUCAUCUGUUUAACAAAAACAUUUCAUUUUGAAUAUAAUAUAAAGUAAGUUCUGCUCAAUGAAUAAUUAUUUAAAUAGCUGCAGUAAAUUAACUGUACUAAGGUAGCAUAAUCAAUUGUCUUUUAAUUAAAGACUAGAAUGAAGGAAUUAAUGAGAUUAAGACUUUCUAAAGAAUUAAGUUUUGAAAUUAUUUAUUAAGUAAAAAUACUUAAUAGAAUUUAUGGGACGAGAAGACCCUAUAGAAUUUAAUAUUUAUGUAUUAAUUUUUUAAUAUUUAAGUGUUUUAUUGGGAGGAUAAUUAAAUUUAAUAAACUUUAAUUUAUAUAUUACAUAAAUUAAUGAAUUUAAAAAUAAUUGAAUAAAAUUUUAUUAUUAUAGAAUAAAUUACCUUAGGGAUAACAGCAUAAUAUUUUUUUGUAGCUCAUAUAUAAAAAAGUGUUUAUGACCUCGAUGUUGAAUUAAAAUUUAAAUUAGAAGGAGAAUUCUAAAUUUUAAGUCUGUUCGACUUUUAAAAUUUUACAUGAUUUGAGUUCAGAUCGGUGUAAGCCAGAUCGGUUUCUAUCUAUAAAAAAAUUAAAUAUAUUUGUACGAAAGGAUUGUAUAUUUUAAAAAAUUUAAUUUAGUUGAAUAAUAAUAAUAAUUA